AAUGUUUGGGGGGUCUGUCUCUGUCUCCCUUCAGACACAGACGCCUGGCUUUGCUGAAGCAAGUGAGUAUCAGAGAGAACUGCUGCACACUUUGCUGUGAUGAGGUAGCAGACACAGAACUCAGGCCGUGUGGACACAGUGACCUGUGCAUGGAGUGUGCCUUGCAACUGGAGACCUGCCCUUUGUGUCGACAGGAAAUACAGACCCGAGUCAGACAGAUCUCUCACAUUUCAUGACACACGUGGAGAAACACCACAGACUUGUUUUUAAUGAACUCCAACCAAUACUGAAAGGGGAAAGCAUCUCUAACCAGUCUUUAUGCACAUAGAACCAUAGCCACGGCCAGAUUUCA
This is a non-coding RNA of Cyanistes caeruleus (blue tit), 352 nucleotides long. The record is from RefSeq and is a predicted model, not a curated record. Lineage: Eukaryota; Metazoa; Chordata; Aves; Passeriformes; Paridae.